CAGCGCCACGAGUGGCAAUCACGUUUAUUGGGCCUAAAGCGUCCGUAGCCGGAUUAUUAAGUCUUUUGUGAAAUCGUUGUGCUUAACAUAACGCUGUGCAAAAGAGACUGAUAAUCUUGGAACCGGGAAGAGUCAGAGGUAUUUUAGGGGGAGCGAUAAAAUGCUAUAAUCCCUAGAGGACCACCUGUGGCGAAGGCGUCUGACUAGAACGGCUUCGACGGUGAGGGACGAAAGCCAGGGGAGCAAACCGGAUUAGAUACCCGAGUAGUC
RNAcentral lists this ribosomal RNA (270 nucleotides) under uncultured archaeon. RNAcentral describes it as "partial 16S ribosomal RNA". It matches the Rfam family "Archaeal small subunit ribosomal RNA", at positions 477 to 746 of the family's 1478-position model. The record is from RNAcentral.